Solea senegalensis (Senegalese sole) is the source of this 509-nucleotide long non-coding RNA. RefSeq lists it as uncharacterized. The record is from RefSeq and is a predicted model, not a curated record. Lineage: Eukaryota; Metazoa; Chordata; Actinopteri; Pleuronectiformes; Soleidae. The transcript is spliced from 2 exons.
ACAAGCUGGAGUCACAUGCAGAGCUCAAGCUGACCAAGCAGUGACUGACAAAAGGAUCCAGGUGCCCUGAAAACAUCGGAUUAAGCUCUUGUUGGCAGGACACAUCUCAAAGGACACCAUUGAGAGGAAUAAUUGCAGGCAGGUCUCAGGAGAGACAAAGCAUCAUUGUUGGAUGGAUGGAUCUCUCGCUGCACUGCCCCGGCACAUGAAAAAUAACCGCCAAGAAAACAAAACAAAGGGAAAAAACAAACUCACAAGAGCACAAGUUUCACUUCAGUUGGUCUUUUUCUUACCUUUUUUACGGGAGAAAUCCAAGGAUACGCUCCGAUGCUGGGCAACUGUUUAGAGUCUCCACCUUCACUGUGGUGAUGGAAGCUGUUGCUGUGGGAGUGGACUGACUGUGAGAUAACAGGAGCACAGGGGCGUGUUCCACUUCUGUCGUCUGAAACUGACCAACACUACACUUCCCCUGGCUUUGUCACUCCGUGAGAUAAAAGAGAUCUGUUGCA